Molecule: ribosomal RNA, 301 nt
Filed under: uncultured bacterium
Lineage: Bacteria
Description: partial 16S ribosomal RNA
Rfam family: Bacterial small subunit ribosomal RNA
Source: RNAcentral
CAGUAGCCGCGGGAAUACGAAGGGUGCAAGCGUUGAUCGGAAUUACUGGGCGUAAAGCGCACGCAGGCGGUUUGUUAAGUCAGAUGUGAAAUCCCCGAGCUUAACUUGGGAACUGCAUUUGAAACUGGCAAGCUAGAGUCUUGUAGAGGGGGGUAGAAUUCCAGGUGUAGCGGUGAAAUGCGUAGAGAUCUGGAGGAAUACCGGUGGCGAAGGCGGCCCCCUGGACAAAGACUGACGCUUAGGUGCGAAAGCGUGGGGAGCAAACAGGAUUAGAUACCCCGGUAGUCCCUGUCUCUUAUAC